UACAGAGGUCUCAAGCGUUGUUCGGAUUCAUUGGGCGUAAAGGGUGCGUAGGUGGCGGGGUAAGUUGGAUGUGAAAUCCCGGGGCUCAACCCCGGAACUGCAUUCAAUACUGCCUUGCUAGAGCACUGGAGAGGAGAUUGGAAUUUACGGUGUAGCAGUGAAAUGCGUAGAUAUCGUAAGGAAGACCAGUGGCGAAGGCGGAUCUCUGGACAGUUACUGACGCUGAGGCACGAAGGUCAGGGGAGCAAACGGG
RNAcentral lists this ribosomal RNA (253 nucleotides) under uncultured bacterium. RNAcentral describes it as "partial 16S ribosomal RNA". It matches the Rfam family "Bacterial small subunit ribosomal RNA", at positions 524 to 776 of the family's 1533-position model. The record is from RNAcentral.